Molecule: ribosomal RNA, 582 nt
Filed under: Limnebius simplex
Lineage: Eukaryota; Metazoa; Arthropoda; Insecta; Coleoptera; Hydraenidae
Description: partial 16S ribosomal RNA
Rfam family: Bacterial large subunit ribosomal RNA
Source: RNAcentral
CCUGCCCUAUGAAAAUUUAAAUGGCCGCAGUAUUUUGACUGUGCAAAGGUAGCAUAAUAAUUAGUUUUUUAAUUGAAAGCUGGAAUGAAAGGUUGAACGAAAAAAUAUCUGUCUCAAUUUAAUUUAAUUAGAAUUUUAUUUUUUAGUAAAAAAGCUAAAAUAAUUUUUAAAGACGAGAAGACCCUAUAGAGUUUUAUAUUUAUUAUUAUAUAUUUUAUAGAAUUUUUUUAUAAUUUAUAGUAUUUUAUUGGGGUGAUAAAUAAAUUUAAAUAACUUUAUUGAUUUUUUACAUUAAUAUAUGAUUAAUUGAUCCAUACAAAUGAUUAAAGAUUAAAUUACCUUAGGGAUAACAGCGUUAUUUUUUUUAAGAGUUCUUAUCGAAAAAAAAGAUUGCGACCUCGAUGUUGGAUUAAAAUUUAUUUAUGGUGUAGAAGCUAUAAUAUUAGGUCUGUUCGACCUUUAAAAUUUUACAUGAUCUGAGUUUAAACCGGUGUGAGCCAGGUUGGUUUCUAUCUUAAAAUAAUUAAAAUAUUUUAGUACGAAAGGACCAAAUAUUUGUAAUAUUUACUUAAUUUUGAAUAC